RNAcentral lists this long non-coding RNA (396 nucleotides) under Vigna radiata. RNAcentral describes it as "long non-coding RNA (VRAD_LNC010218)". Lineage: Eukaryota; Viridiplantae; Streptophyta; Magnoliopsida; Fabales; Fabaceae. The record is from RNAcentral.
GAUGGAGUAUUGUAUGAUUGUAUAAUUGGCUCACAUGUUAUAAGAGGGGAGAAUGUGAUAAAAUCAUGUGAAGAUUAUUGACAGGGGAAUCAUAAGUUAUUUUGUUAUACUAAUUGAUGCAUCUCUAUUUCCUUCAUUAUCUCUAUUUCAAUUACUGUGAAUAACAUGCUUUUUUUGCUAAUACCCAAAGGGGGAGAAGUAUUUGAUGUAAUUGAACUGUGUAAUUGAGAUAAUUGAAAAUGUGUUUGAUUGUGGACUAUAUAACAUGGUUUUAUUAAUCAUAGUUGUGCAUCAUAAAAAAAAAAGGGAAGAUUGUUGAUAGGGGGAGCAAAAUGUUAGCUAAACCCGCUCCUUGGUGUUUGCUUUUGAUGAUGACAACACAUAGUUAAUAAAAAC